UCAGCUCAGUCGAGUCUCAGCGACCAUCGCACGCGCAGUGUUAACUGUUCGAAACGAGGCGUCCGCGCGCCGACACCAUAAUGAACGUAACCAUGGACACUGACAUUAUAAUGACUUCCGAAGGAAUGGAUGGCGUAUUACGAGCGAAAAUAAUAACCAUGGUGACGCUAUUCUGUGUAUCCAUGCUGUUUGGAUGCUUGCCGAUGCUUAUUUCACUAAAAUUCGACUGGUUUACGAAAAGCACCGGUUCGGAUGUGCGGACUUCCAAUCAGUUUGUGAUGGGGCUGCUGGCGUUUGGUGGAGGUGUCCUGUUUGCCACCACUUUUAUGCACUUGCUGCCGGAGGUGGAUUUAAACAUACAGCUGCUUCAAGAGGCCGGUGAACUCGCAGACAUACCGCUAUACCUUGCCGCCCUCAUAAUGUGCGCCGGCUUCUUCAUGAUGUAUUUAAUCGAAGAGUUGGUACACGUUUACAUCAACAGCAGAGAGAAUAAGACUGCCAAAACUAGCUUUACUAGAGUCCUUAGUAUUAGAAAAACAAGUGCACCUGAAGCGCCGGAACCUUUAAAGGAGGUUAACGUUCCGAAGAGUCAUGGGCAUGGCCAUAGUCACCAACCUUUCGUGUCUGGAGACGAUCCUGUGACGCAGACGCUGAGGGGGCUCUUGAUUGUUUUGGCGUUGUCCAUCCAUGAGCUCUUUGAAGGGUUGGCUGUUGGAUUGGAGGCUUCUGCAGCGAAUGUGUGGUACAUGUUCGGCGCGGUCUCAGCCCACAAGUACAUCAUCGCCUUCUGCAUCGGCGUGGAGCUCAUAGCGGCCGGCACCAAGCGUUGGCUGUCUUUGGUCUACAUCUUCACGUUCUCCUUCGUGUCUGCACUGGGUAUCGGCGUUGGGAUCCUGCUGGUCGGUGGUGCUGGCGCGGCUGAGGCCGGACUCUACUCGGUUAUAUUGCAGGGUCUAGCCUGUGGCACGCUGAUGUACGUGGUGUUCUUCGAAGUGUGGCGGCAGGACCGCUCGGGAAUACUCCAGUUCGUCUGCUCCGUGCUGGGCUUCGUCGUCAUGGUGUCGCUGGAGCUGGUCGUGGAACUCUUCGUCGUUCCAGAUUAGCAGAAGAAUUGAAAUAGGUACCUAUUACCACGAAAGGACCCCGCAGCAAAUAUAUGGUGGUUUUAUGGUUGGAAAAGUGGUUUCAGUCAAAUCUAACGAAAUUUUUGUAUGAUUUAGGUUUAAGUCACCCGAUUAUUAUUUUUAAAAAACCGCCCAAGUGCGAGUCGGACUCGCGUUCCAAGGGUUCCGUACAUAACACAAUUUAGACAAUGUAUUUUCUAUUUGAAACUUGAGUGAAAUGUCUAAAAAACCCGUAGGGGUCGGAUCAAAAACUAAGUAAUUAAGUCCGACUCACGCUUGACUGCAAUUUCUAAUAGGUUUUCCUGUAAUCUAUAGGUAAAGAUCUAUUUUGUGUAUUUUUUUCAAAAUUUUAGACCCAGUAGUUUCGGAGAUAAAGGGUAAUGAUAAUGGUAAUUUUUUGCCUAUUUUCUUGAAUAACUUCUAAAUUGUUUAUCCUAAAAUUAUAAAAAUAUAUAUAUUUGAGAUUCUCACAAUGAGCUCUUUCAUUUGAUAUAUAACACGAUAUGGUUUGAAAAACUUUAUUUUUUAAUUUUCUCAUUUACCCCCCAAAAUGUUUAAAUUCAUUUGUUUAUGUUACAUGUCCGUCUUUGGGUCACAAACUUACAUAUAUUAUGUAUACCAAAUUUCAACUUAAUUGGUCCAGUAGUUUCGGAGAAAAUAGGCUCUGACAGACGGACAGACAGACACACGCACGAAUGAUCCUGUAAGAGUUCCGUUUUUUCCUUUUGAGGUACGGAACCCUAAAAAGCCACAAAUCUAUCAGAAGUAUACUUUCCCUAACAAUCAAUUAGUUGUUUCGUACAAAAUAUAAUGUUACAUGCCUAUUUUUCGUAUCCUCUUUGCUCUGUUAUGCAAGUUAUGUAGUAUUAUAUCCACCACGGCUAACUAUAAUUCAUCCGGAUAGUCUCACCAAACCAAGAUCCGACCCCAAAUAAUGGGAUCAGGAGAGGAAGAAGAAGAGAGUCUCACUAUUUGAUUGGGAUGAAUCAAUAAUACAAGAAAUGGACAUAACUGAAUAGUUGGUAUUGGUAACAGCAUUAUAAUUACGACUUCAUAACGCCAGUAACUGUUAUUGUUAUUACAGACAAUUCAAUGUAUCGAUUUUAGGAAACACCUCAUAGAAAUAGAAAAAUGUAAACUUGAUUAUUUCUGAAAGUAUACUUCUGAGAUAUUUGUGCCCCUAUAAACAAAUUGUCAGGAGACUUAAUUCAGCUUUAUGUAUAAAAUGAAUUCAAACUCAGGUUAGAUAUCAAAAUCUAUUUAGGUUCAGACACGUCGGACAAAAUGCCAGAAAUAGGUAUAGGUACAUUACCUUGAUAUAUGGGCAAUAAGGUCGUCAAUACAUAUUUUUGUCCAUAUCGAUAUUUUUAGACGUGACUGUACCUUGGAAUAGGUCAACUGUUUUUGCUGUGCGCGUCUUUUCCGUUGGGGUAGGUCGAUCUAGGCAGGUAAGUAAUAUUAUGUUAUGUAUAAUGUGAAUAUUAUUAAUUAUAAACCUAAUUAACAAUAGUAAGAUUAUUAUUGAAAUAAAUGUAAUUAAUAAAAAUAAUUCCUGUUGACAAAUAAAUUGGAUAUUGAGACUUCUUAGGGUAGGUCGUGUUACUCGUAUCGUACCUAUA
Cydia strobilella is the source of this 2743-nucleotide RNA transcript. It is a transcript of the gene named zinc transporter ZIP1-like, with no coding region annotated. The record is from RefSeq and is a predicted model, not a curated record. The transcript has 6 exons. Lineage: Eukaryota; Metazoa; Arthropoda; Insecta; Lepidoptera; Tortricidae.